RNAcentral lists this transfer RNA (76 nucleotides) under SAR324 cluster bacterium. RNAcentral's name for it is "tRNA-Gly". It matches the Rfam family "tRNA". Rfam says of the family: Transfer RNA (tRNA) molecules are approximately 80 nucleotides in length. Their secondary structure includes four short double-helical elements and three loops (D, anti-codon, and T loops). Further hydrogen bonds mediate the characteristic L-shaped molecular structure. tRNAs have two regions of fundamental functional importance: the anti-codon, which is responsible for specific mRNA codon recognition, and the 3' end, to which the tRNAs corresponding amino acid is attached (by aminoacyl-tRNA synthetases). tRNAs cope with the degeneracy of the genetic code in two manners: having more than one tRNA (with a specific anti-codon) for a particular amino acid; and 'wobble' base-pairing, i.e. permitting non-standard base-pairing at the 3rd anti-codon position. Lineage: Bacteria; Deltaproteobacteria. RNAcentral also lists the same sequence under 1 other name. The record is from RNAcentral.
GCGAGAAUAGCUCAGCUGGUAGAGUACGAGCUUCCCAAGCUCGGGGUCGCGGGUUCGAGUCCCGUUUCUCGCUCCA